RNAcentral lists this ribosomal RNA (507 nucleotides) under Vibrio sp. 03_296. RNAcentral describes it as "bacterial SSU rRNA". It matches the Rfam family "Bacterial small subunit ribosomal RNA", at positions 1 to 499 of the family's 1533-position model. The record is from RNAcentral. Lineage: Bacteria; Pseudomonadati; Pseudomonadota; Gammaproteobacteria; Vibrionales; Vibrionaceae.
UAAUUGAAGAGUUUGAUCAUGGCUCAGAUUGAACGCUGGCGGCAGGCCUAACACAUGCAAGUCGAGCGGCAGCACAGAGAAACUUGUUUCUCGGGUGGCGAGCGGCGGACGGGUGAGUAAUGCCUGGAAAUUGCCCUGAUGUGGGGGAUAACCAUUGGAAACGAUGGCUAAUACCGCAUGAUAGCUUCGGCUCAAAGAGGGGGACCUUCGGGCCUCUCGCGUCAGGAUAUGCCCAGGUGGGAUUAGCUAGUUGGUGAGGUAAGGGCUCACCAAGGCGACGAUCCCUAGCUGGUCUGAGAGGAUGAUCAGCCACACUGGAACUGAGACACGGUCCAGACUCCUACGGGAGGCAGCAGUGGGGAAUAUUGCACAAUGGGCGCAAGCCUGAUGCAGCCAUGCCGCGUGUGUGAAGAAGGCCUUCGGGUUGUAAAGCACUUUCAGUCGUGAGGAAGGUGGUAGUGUUAAUAGCACUAUCAUUGACGUUAGCGACAGAAGAAGCACCGGCUA